RNAcentral lists this transfer RNA (76 nucleotides) under Clostridiaceae bacterium BRH_c20a. RNAcentral describes it as "tRNA-Val". It matches the Rfam family "tRNA". Rfam says of the family: Transfer RNA (tRNA) molecules are approximately 80 nucleotides in length. Their secondary structure includes four short double-helical elements and three loops (D, anti-codon, and T loops). Further hydrogen bonds mediate the characteristic L-shaped molecular structure. tRNAs have two regions of fundamental functional importance: the anti-codon, which is responsible for specific mRNA codon recognition, and the 3' end, to which the tRNAs corresponding amino acid is attached (by aminoacyl-tRNA synthetases). tRNAs cope with the degeneracy of the genetic code in two manners: having more than one tRNA (with a specific anti-codon) for a particular amino acid; and 'wobble' base-pairing, i.e. permitting non-standard base-pairing at the 3rd anti-codon position. The record is from RNAcentral. Lineage: Bacteria; Bacillati; Bacillota; Clostridia; Eubacteriales; Clostridiaceae. RNAcentral also lists the same sequence under 4 other names.
GGGCGAUUAGCUCAGCUGGGAGAGCACCUGCCUUACAAGCAGGGGGUCGGCGGUUCGAUCCCGUCAUCGCCCACCA